This 489-nucleotide ribosomal RNA is filed under the name uncultured Anaerolineaceae bacterium. Its description in RNAcentral is "bacterial SSU rRNA". It matches the Rfam family "Bacterial small subunit ribosomal RNA", at positions 894 to 1382 of the family's 1533-position model. Lineage: Bacteria; Bacillati; Chloroflexota; Anaerolineae; Anaerolineales; Anaerolineaceae. The record is from RNAcentral.
CAGAAACUACAAAGGAAUUGACGGGGCCCGCACAAGCGGUGGAGCAUGUGGUUUAAUUCGAAGCAACGCGAAGAACCUUACCAGGCCUUGACAUGCAGAGAACUUUCCAGAGAUGGAUUGGUGCCUUCGGGAACUCUGACACAGGUGCUGCAUGGCUGUCGCCAGCUCGUGUCGUGAGAUGUUGGGUUAAGUCCCGUAACGAGCGCAACCCCUACCUUUAGUUGCCAUCAGGUUAAGCUGGGGACUCUAAAGGAACUGCCUACGCAAGUAGUGAGGAAGGCGGGGAUGACGUCAAAUCAGCACGGCCCUUACGUCCAGGGCUACACACGUGCUACAAUGGCCGAUACAGAGGGCAGCUACCUGGUGACAGGAUGCAAAUCUCCAAAGUCGGUCUCAGUUCGGAUCGGAGUCUGCAACCCGACUCCGUGAAGUUGGAUUCGCUAGUAAUCGCGCAUCAGCCAUGGCGCGGUGAAUACGUUCCCGGGCCUU